Molecule: ribosomal RNA, 1494 nt
Filed under: uncultured organism
Description: SSU rRNA
Rfam family: Bacterial small subunit ribosomal RNA
Source: RNAcentral
AUGAACGCUGGCGGCGUGCCUAAUACAUGCAAGUCGAACGAGUUCUGAUUAUUGAAAGGUGCUUGCAUCUUGAUUUAAUUUUGAACGAGUGGCGGACGGGUGAGUAACACGUGGGUAACCUGCCCUUAAGUGGGGGAUAACAUUUGGAAACAGAUGCUAAUACCGCAUAAAUCCAAGAACCGCAUGGUUCUUGGCUGAAAGAUGGCGUAAGCUAUCGCUUUUGGAUGGACCCGCGGCGUAUUAGCUAGUUGGUGAGGUAACGGCUCACCAAGGCAAUGAUACGUAGCCGAACUGAGAGGUUGAUCGGCCACAUUGGGACUGAGACACGGCCCAAACUCCUACGGGAGGCAGCAGUAGGGAAUCUUCCACAAUGGACGCAAGUCUGAUGGAGCAACGCCGCGUGAGUGAAGAAGGCUUUCGGGUCGUAAAACUCUGUUGUUGGAGAAGAAUGGUCGGCAGAGUAACUGUUGUCGGCGUGACGGUAUCCAACCAGAAAGCCACGGCUAACUACGUGCCAGCAGCCGCGGUAAUACGUAGGUGGCAAGCGUUAUCCGGAUUUAUUGGGCGUAAAGCGAGCGCAGGCGGUUUUUUAAGUCUGAUGUGAAAGCCCUCGGCUUAACCGAGGAAGUGCAUCGGAAACUGGGAAACUUGAGUGCAGAAGAGGACAGUGGAACUCCAUGUGUAGCGGUGAAAUGCGUAGAUAUAUGGAAGGACACCAGUGGCGAAGGCGGCUGUCUGGUCUGUAACUGACGCUGAGGCUCGAAAGCAUGGGUAGCGAACAGGGAAUUAGAUACCCUGGUAGUCCAUGCCGUAAACGAUGAAUGCUAGGUGUUGGAGGGUUUCCGCCCUUCAGUGCCGCAGCUAACGCAUUAAGCAUUCCGCCUGGGGAGUACGACCGCAAGGUUGAAACUCAAAGGAAUUGACGGGGGCCCGCACAAGCGGUGGAGCAUGUGGUUUAAUUCGAAGCAACGCGAAGAACCUUACCAGGUCUUGACAUCUUUUGAUCACCUGAGAGAUCAGGUUUCCCCUUCGGGGGCAAAAUGACAGGUGGUGCAUGGUUGUCGUCAGCUCGUGUCGUGAGAUGUUGGGUUAAGUCCCGCAACGAGCGCAACCCUUAUGACUAGUUGCCAGCAUUUAGUUGGGCACUCUAGUAAGACUGCCGGUGACAAACCGGAGGAAGGUGGGGAUGACGUCAAAUCAUCAUGCCCCUUAUGACCUGGGCUACACACGUGCUACAAUGGAUGGUACAACGAGUUGCGAGACCGCGAGGUCAAGCUAAUCUCUUAAAGCCAUUCUCAGUUCGGACUGUAGGCUGCAACUCGCCUACACGAAGUCGGAAUCGCUAGUAAUCGCGGAUCAGCACGCCGCGGUGAAUACGUUCCCGGGCCUUGUACACACCGCCCGUCACACCAUGAGAGUUUGUAACACCCGAAGCCGGUGGCGUAACCCUUUUAGGGAGCGAGCCGUCUAAGGUGGGACAAAUGAUUAGGGUGA